GUUAGGAAUAUUGGACAAUGGGCGCAAGCCUGAUCCAGCCAUGCCGCGUGAGUGAUGAAGGCCUUCGGGUUGUAAAGCUCUUUAGCCGAUGAUUAUAAUGACUGUAGUCGGAAAAUAAGCCCCGGCUAACUUCGUGCCAGCAGCCGCGGUAAUACGAAGGGGGCGAGCGUUAUUCGGAAUCACUGGGCGUAAAGCGUGCGUAGGCGGCUUUGCAAGUUGGGAGUGAAAGCCCAGGGCUCAACCCUGGAAUUGCUCUCAAAACUGCAAGGCUCGAAUUCGGGAGAGGAUAGCGGAAUUGUCAGUGUAGCAGUGAAAUGCGUAGAUAUUGACAGGAACACCAGUGGCGUAAGCGGCUAUCUGGACCGAUAUUGACGCUGAGGCACGAAAGCGUGGGGAUCAAACAGGAUUAGAAACCCUUGUAGUCC
Molecule: ribosomal RNA, 425 nt
Filed under: uncultured bacterium
Lineage: Bacteria
Description: bacterial SSU rRNA
Rfam family: Bacterial small subunit ribosomal RNA
Source: RNAcentral